UACAGAGGGUGCAAGCGUUAAUCGGAAUUACUGGGCGUAAAGGGUGCGUAGGUGGAUAAAUAAGUUAGACGUGAAAGCCCCGGGCUCAACCUGGGAUGGUCGUCUAAUACUGUUUGUCUAGAGUAUGGUAGAGGGUGGUAGAAUUUCCGGUGUAGCGGUGAAAUGCGUAGAUAUCGGAAGGAAUAUCAAUGGCGAAGGCAGCCACCUGGGCCAAUACUGACACUGAGGCACGAAAGCAUGGGGAGCAAACAGG
Molecule: ribosomal RNA, 253 nt
Filed under: uncultured bacterium
Lineage: Bacteria
Description: partial 16S ribosomal RNA
Rfam family: Bacterial small subunit ribosomal RNA
Source: RNAcentral